RNAcentral lists this ribosomal RNA (253 nucleotides) under uncultured bacterium. Its description in RNAcentral is "partial 16S ribosomal RNA". It matches the Rfam family "Bacterial small subunit ribosomal RNA", at positions 524 to 776 of the family's 1533-position model. The record is from RNAcentral.
UACAGAGGUCCCAAGCGUUGUUCGGAUUCACUGGGCGUAAAGGGCUCGUAGGCGGCCAACUAAGUCAGACGUGAAAUCCCUCGGCUUAACCGGGGAACUGCGUCUGAUACUGGAUGGCUUGAGUUUGGGAGAGGGAUGCGGAAUUCCAGGUGUAGCGGUGAAAUGCGUAGAUAUCUGGAGGAACACCGGUGGCGAAGGCGGCAUCCUGGACCAAUUCUGACGCUGAGGAGCGAAAGCCAGGGGAGCAAACGGG